This 71-nucleotide transfer RNA is filed under the name Gongylonema pulchrum. It matches the Rfam family "tRNA". From Rfam's summary of the family: Transfer RNA (tRNA) molecules are approximately 80 nucleotides in length. Their secondary structure includes four short double-helical elements and three loops (D, anti-codon, and T loops). Lineage: Eukaryota; Metazoa; Nematoda; Chromadorea; Rhabditida; Gongylonematidae. The record is from Rfam by way of RNAcentral.
GGAUCGGUGGUGUAGUGGUAACACAUUGCGUUUGAACGUGAAAAGGUAUGGUUCGAUUCCUUCCCGGUCCG